GGGAGGCAGCAGUGAGGAAUAUUGGUCAAUGGGGGCAACCCUGAACCAGCCAUGCCGCGUGAAGGAUGACUGCCCUAUGGGUUGUAAACUUCUUUUUUUAGGGACGAAACUGCUUUACGUGUAGAGUACUGACGGUACCUAAAGAAUAAGCAACGGCUAACUCCGUGCCAGCAGCCGCGGUAAUACGGAGGUUGCAAGCGUUAUCCGGAUUUAUUGGGUUUAAAGGGUGCGUAGGCGGGAUUAUAAGUCAGUGGUGAAAACCUGCAGCUUAACUGUAGAACUGCCAUUGAUACUGUAAUUCUUGAGUAUAGUUGAGGUGGGCGGAAUGUGUAAUGUAGCGGUGAAAUGCUUAGAUAUUACACAGAACACCGAUUGCGUAGGCAGCUCACUAAACUAACACUGACGCUGAGGCACGAAAGCGUGGGGAUCAAACAGGAUUAGAUACCCUGGUAGUCCACGCCGUAAACGAUGAUUACUCGAUGUGUGCAAUAUAUCGUACGCGUCUAAGCGAAAGCAUUAAGUAAUCCACC
Molecule: ribosomal RNA, 530 nt
Filed under: uncultured bacterium
Lineage: Bacteria
Description: bacterial SSU rRNA
Rfam family: Bacterial small subunit ribosomal RNA
Source: RNAcentral